AGCUUUGCGCAGUGGCAAUAUCAUAGCCAGUGAGGUUUAUCCGAGGUGCGAUUAUUGCUAAUUGGAAAAAAAAGAAUCUUCUUAAAAACACAUAGUCUUUAAUACUUACGUACAGUGCAUGUUG
This 124-nucleotide small nuclear RNA is filed under the name Echinops telfairi (small Madagascar hedgehog). RNAcentral's name for it is "U4 spliceosomal RNA (ENSETEG00000024582.1)". It matches the Rfam family "U4 spliceosomal RNA". Rfam says of the family: U4 small nuclear RNA (U4 snRNA) is a component of the major U2-dependent spliceosome. The structure of U4 snRNA from yeast and human has been reported. The record is from RNAcentral. Lineage: Eukaryota; Metazoa; Chordata; Mammalia; Afrosoricida; Tenrecidae.